Molecule: ribosomal RNA, 329 nt
Filed under: uncultured eukaryote
Lineage: Eukaryota
Description: partial 18S ribosomal RNA
Rfam family: Eukaryotic small subunit ribosomal RNA
Source: RNAcentral
CCCUUAGAUGUCCUGGGCCGCACGCGCGCUACACUGAGUGUCUGAGAUACGAGUCUGCCUGGUCCGGCAAGGUCUAGGUAAUCGCUAAAAGACACAUCAUGCUUGGGAUAGAUUAUUGCAAAUAUUAAUCUUGAACGAGGAAUUCCUAGUAAGCGCAAGUCAACAGCUUGCGUUGAGUACGUCCCUGCCCUUUGUACACACCGCCCGUCGCUACUACUGAUUGGAUGUUUAAGCGAGGUUCUCGAACUGCUAGCGACUUAGCUUCGGUGAGGUCGCAGUGUGGGAAGUGAACCUAGCUUUGGUGUCUAGAGGAAGUAAAAGUCGUAACA